Chinchilla lanigera (long-tailed chinchilla) is the source of this 3915-nucleotide long non-coding RNA. Lineage: Eukaryota; Metazoa; Chordata; Mammalia; Rodentia; Chinchillidae. The record is from Ensembl.
AUGUUUUUGUCUUCUCUCAAUAGGAUGAAAAGGCAGCGAUUGACCCUAAAUUCAAGACAUUUUUUGCACCCCUAUGAUCAUGACCCAAAGACUCAGGCAGAAAUUCUGACAACAGCAGAUUCUUGUCUGCAAGAAGCAAUGAGAGGUCUCUGCUGUCGGCUACUCUUAUAUUCAAUUGCAUGGACCAGGACCAAGGAGGUAUGCGCUGAGAUAGGGGGUUCAUGAGGAAGUCUGUGUAGGUUUCCAGAUACCUUCUUGUGCUAAGUAACCAUCUCGAUGACCUUGGGCAAAUCCUGAAGUCCUGGUGACAUUUCUGAACAUCAGUGUUCUCAUCUGUGAAAUAAAAAUAAGGAUUGAAUGUGAUAAUCUAAACAUCAUUAGGAUGGGGAUUUUUCCUUGCUUUUACUGAUUCCCACUGCUCAGAAAAAUAGGCAUUCCAUAAACACUCACUGAAUGAUUUGAUGAUCCAUAAGAUGUGUAAGGUUGUCCAGUGUAAAAUACAUAUUUAAUAGUUAUUUUAGCAAUUAGUAUCGUGACUGCCUCUUCCCACCUCUCAUGCUCAAGUAUCUCACCAUGUGCCUACAUAUUUUGUAGAUGACCAUAAAAGAAACACAAUUGGUCUGCUUCCUUAUACUUAGAAGACUCGGCCCACCCCAGAGAAGGUAUCACUGGAUGAAAUAUUGUUGUAACCAAUAUUUCACAGUUUUGCUAGUGGUUUCCAAAGAUUGUUAGUGAGAGCUCUGUGGGAGGAAAACAUAACAAGUGUCAAGUCCAAAAAUGUUGGGAAAUGUUGCCUUUAAUGGGUUUCUUCCCUCUUAGGCUUUUCUAAGAUUUUAUUAUUCAUAUGGGGAUCGUGAUUCUCCAGGAGGGAAAGAAUAGUUUCCCAACCCAACUUGACCAGAGGAUCCUUUCCUUAUAAAUAUCCCAUUGUACUCAGAUAACUCCUUGUGAAAUGUAGAUUUAAUCAUUAGCUAGAAGAGGAUACACAGAGCAAAAGGAUUUAUUUUUAUAGGGCAGUAAAAUGCUUUUUUAGGUCAGGGAAGACUUAUUUAGAAAUGAGAUGUGGAGUUCACACAACCCAAGACAGUCAUCGAGGAAAUUUCACUCCAAUGAAGCAGUUAGGUGAGUGAAAACAAAUGAACAUAAAAUAAGUAUAUAAUAACACCUUGGGAAAAUUAAACAUCUCUCCAUUUAACAUCUGUCACAUAGAUAAUUGUAGCAACUAGAUUGAUUGUGGAAGAAGAAACUGUAAGUUUAAAAGGGAAGCAGCUGAGUUUGCUUAUAUCACCUGCAAAGGGACUACUUUCUUUGGCAGAUUGAUAUUGCACAAAGGUUUGGGGUUUCAUUAAAGACUUAUGGUUGGAUGGCGUAACAGUAUGUUACAGAAUGUGUGUGUGUGUGUGUGUGUGUGUGUGUGUGUGUGUUGUGUGUGAUCAGACAAUUCAGUGCAUGAGGCUUUCAGAAAAGAGACUGCUAUCAUGCAUUCUGGAUUGUGCUACAUUUUAGAUGACAUUGUCAUGUAACAAUACCAUUUGAUAUCAUGUCCUAUCAGUAACAAUGAUAAUAUAAUCUGCACAUUAGUUACAAAAUGAUAUGCGGAUUGGUAUCAAUUGGUAUUAAUUUUUUCUUGUGCAAUUCUGUAAUAUUUUAAUGUCUAUUGUAAUUUUGAGAAGUACAUGUUUUUGUAUUUUCUGAAAAACCUGAUUAUAUAUCACAGAAGAAUACAAAAACAACAACAAAACAUAAACAAGGCCAAAUAACACAGCCAAAUUCUUAAGUUAAUCUCUGUCAAGGGGCCUUCACACCUGCAAAUAAUAUUCUCUUCUUUACAUGUAAACUUCCUGCUGAAAGCAGGUCAGAGAUAACAGCUGGAUUAACUUGGAGAGGUUUGGUGGGGGUUUUUGUAAGUUUUUAAACAAUUAGUUUUAUGUUCUUUUAAAUAAUUGCUUCAUUAUAUUUUGUACAUCUGUGCAAGGGUCUGAUGAUGACAUUUGGUAAAUUUCCAAAUAGCUGUAAAACUGGGGAACACUAUUAAGCAAUAGUACAAUUCACCUGUAGGUUAGAAAAAAAGGCCUUGUGAAAUAGCUCAAAAGAAAAACGCCUUAAACAAAAGAACCAAUUCUGUUCUGUGAGGAAAUGGUUCUGCUUCAGGUGAAGCUAUCAGAUACAGUAUUCUCUUUAAGAAGAUAGGCUGGCAUCUCAGAGGAGACUAACAAAAAUGAUAAAAGGUUUGGAAAACAAGACCUGGGAGAAAAGGUUAAGAGCGUGGGAACACUCAUUCAAGUUGAAGGAGACUGAGGGGAGACAUAACUGUCUAGCUACAAGUUAAAUCAUGUUACAAUAAGAGACAUUGAUUAUUAUUAGCAGUAGAAGAGGGCAGUUAGAACAAAAGGGCUGUACCCACUCUACUUCAUAUCAGGAACAAUUUUUUAGCACAAUAAACAUUUAUAUGAUGGAGUUAGGUGCUAUAAGCAUCUAAAGCUUAGCUGCUGUUGAACCAAAAGGAAAUCCUUGAGGAUAAUUUGAAGUACUUUGUCAGUCUGUGGCCUGGAAAAUGGGUUGUAACUCAGUUCUUCUGUUAUAAAUAAUCAGAUAAAGCCUUCCUUGCUCCCAUACUUUUGAUUGGGUGAAGAAGGAAAUGUGUAUAAAGAUAUUCACAGAUCCGUAAAUUACUCCUAAGCAAUAACCACCAAAACUCAGAAUCAGGCUGUGACCCUACCCUAGAGACCAAAACCUUGCAUAACUUAUGCAAGAUCCUGUAUUUGACUGAAAGCACUGGAAAAAAAGUAGAUAUUCAAAUCACAAAUGGCUAUUUUCAUUUAAGCAUAAUUAACAAAUACAAGAAUUUUGCAUUCAUUCUUUGAACUACCAGAUAAUGAAACUUUAAAAAUUUGCAGUUAUCAAAAAGAAUAUGGAGUUAUCAUGUGACUCACAGAGUAGUGAAAGAAACAAGAUAAAAGCCAUAAAGGCAUCUUUACUUAUUAUAUACAAUAAUGUAUAUUCUUACAUUAUUAUAGAGAUUUUACAUAUGAUAAGAGAGUGAGAAGGUAAAAUAAAUUUUAUUUUACUAUGUGUGAAGAGGGAAGGAUGAAUAGUUUAAAGAUUGUCUAAAAGAAUUGAUUAAUUAUUUGGAUAAAAAUAAGAUCUGUAGUCACACAUGACACCAAAAGAAAGUCUUGCUUGGUUAAAACAAUGAUUCUCAGCAGCAAAUAAUGAAGGAUAGUAGAAGAGUUUUGUGCCACAAAAUUUUCAAGGUUUUUGUUUUGUUUUGUUUUGUUUUGUUUUCAAAUUAUACAUACUUUUCCCACCCAAUGGAUCUGCUAUACUCACUAAAAGUUACAGUCUUAUCCUCGGUAAAUUAAGAUUAGCAUAAUGUAGUGGUUUUCCCACUCAAUAAUUAAUUAAGUAUUUGUUGAACACUUACUAUUUGAUCAGGUAUAAUGCUAGGCUCUAGGAAUAGACAGAUGAAAGAACAAGAUACAUGUUCUAGAGGACUUUAGGCUGCUAGAGAGAAAAAAGAUAGGAAAAAGAAAAAAGAAAAAGAUACCACAUUCUUAAAAGGUGAACUGGAUACAAUCAUCCCUACAUGUGACUAUUCGUGGACUUUUUAAUUGUGUGAAUAAUAAAUUCCUUGUUGCCUGUUUUUUACAUUUUUAAAAAAGAGAUGUUGCAAGGAGGAGAAGAAAUUAAGGUGUGUCCUAUUCGUAUAUGUACUACCCGCAAUAAGUGUAUUAUAUAAAACAAAAAAUGUAUUAAUGUGAAUAAAAAAUGAAAUAACACAUACUAGAAAUAAAGAGCUAAUAUCUUUGCCUCCUGGAACUUACUUUCUAAGUGACAGAAUGAAUAAAUGAUAAAUCAUAUAGAUUGGUAAAAGUUAUUAAAUACUAUGGAAAAACGUUCAAAAGUAAAGCAGAG